CGCUAAGAAGCUAAGCCGGGCUAAAAGCGUCAGCCUUUUAAGCUGAAGAUUGGUGCCUUCCAAACACCCCUAGCGA
Molecule: transfer RNA, 76 nt
Filed under: Rhinogobius shennongensis
Lineage: Eukaryota; Metazoa; Chordata; Actinopteri; Gobiiformes; Gobiidae
Description: tRNA-Lys
Rfam family: tRNA
About the family: Transfer RNA (tRNA) molecules are approximately 80 nucleotides in length. Their secondary structure includes four short double-helical elements and three loops (D, anti-codon, and T loops).
Source: RNAcentral